Molecule: non-coding RNA, 688 nt
Organism: Lonchura striata (white-rumped munia)
Lineage: Eukaryota; Metazoa; Chordata; Aves; Passeriformes; Estrildidae
Source: RefSeq, a predicted model, not a curated record
AGGAAGGAAAAAAGCCCACUGGACUGCUUGCAGCUGCAUUUGAGUUUGUCUAGAAUAAUGAGGGUAUUUCAUUCCUCAAAGACUCCAGCAUCCUAUUUCCAAAUACUUUUUUAAACAAUUGUGAAUGCCAAUAGUCAUUUAAUUUUUACUAUGUAUUGCAAAUAAUUAAUUCGGGGGGGGGAUUAUUUAUUUAUUUAAAGGAAGGAUGUUGCCAUUUCUGCAUUGACUCAUUUCAACAUUUUCAGUCAACCAAAUGCUUUUCAGUAGAACCUAAAGACAUCUCCUUAUUUAGCUCUGCAUAUUUGAGUGCACAGGAUGUUGAAUGUUAGCACACAUGGGCUGGACACAGCUGGGAGUACAGCUUCAAGCCACUUUUCUACCCUGAAUAACUAAAGAAAGCACAAAAGAAAAUUUUCAGUGCAACUUACCCAGUGAAAGACCCACAGAAUUAAUAAUUAUAUCCUCCUGAUGUUGAGGACAUGGGAAAUGAGGCACGUAAAAUGGAAGGCCUUUGUUUCUGGAAACACUUGUGUGCAUUGGAUAUGUACUCCUGGUAUGUCUUGGAGCCUGCCACUGGGGUGAGUUUGAAUUACUAUUUUGUUCUUGGCUGCAAAGACACUGUGACCAAUAUCUUCCCCUUGAGAGAUACACGGUCAAAUCUCUGGAUACAGAAGAUGCUUGGCAACCC